GAUGAACGCUGGCGGCGUGCCUAACACAUGCAAGUCGAACGGAGAUUACGAACGGAAGUUUUCGGAUGGAAGUUUGUAAUUCUUAGUGGCGGACGGGUGAGUAACGCGUGGGCAACCUGCCCUAUACAGGGGGAUAGCAGCUGGAAACGGCUGGUAAGACCGCAUAAGUCGGCGAGACCGCAUGGUUUUGUCGGGAAAUGAGUAAUCAGGUAUAGGAUGGGCCUGCGUCCGAUUAGCCAGUUGGCAGGGUAAAAGCCUACCAAAGCAACGAUCGGUAGCCGGACUGAGAGGUCGGACGGCCACAUUGGGACUGAGACACGGCCCAAACUCCUACGGGAGGCAGCAGUGGGGGAUAUUGCACAAUGGAGGAAACUCUGAUGCAGCGACGCCGCGUGAGUGAAGAAGUAUUUCGGUAUGUAAAGCUCUAUCAGCAGGGAAGAU
RNAcentral lists this ribosomal RNA (441 nucleotides) under Catonella morbi. Its description in RNAcentral is "bacterial SSU rRNA". It matches the Rfam family "Bacterial small subunit ribosomal RNA", at positions 28 to 449 of the family's 1533-position model. The record is from RNAcentral. Lineage: Bacteria; Bacillati; Bacillota; Clostridia; Lachnospirales; Lachnospiraceae.